AUUUACUGGCACCGCACCGGCGAGCAACAGGAGGGAGACUCAGCCGCUGCAUUGUUGGAGACGUUCGAGGACGAAUCCCUUUCCACAUGCGAAGCCUACUCCACCUCCGUCGCGGAGCCCCCGGCUGCCCUGCCUCCUUUCCACCAGCUGCAGCGGCUCCUCUCCAGCACCAGCACCAGCUCGGACACCGACACCAGCACGUCACAGCAACGUCUUAUCACCGGCAAGAGAAAAGGGGGCCACAGAAAAUUGGACCUUCCUAGCGUACUUGUGGAGAUGCAGGCUGAGGAGGAGUGGAGUCAUGCCCAGCAUGAUGAGAACAUCUGGUUGCUCCUCAGCGAGGCAAGAGAGAAUGAAGCUGCCUUGCAGCGGGAGGAGAUGGCCCAGAAUACUGCCUUCAACCAGUCAUUCCUGGGUGUGCUGGGGCAGCUGGGGUAGGCAGUGGGCAGCCGGCGAGUGUGAGCGAGUCCACCUCCCAUAGACUUGAGAUUUACAAGUGCUGGUCAUAUAAUUAGAAUAUCAUGAAAAAGCUCGUCUUUUGGACAACUGUCAGGUCAGUAGUCUUCCCCAUGAUUGUGUAGCCUACAGAACUAGGCUGAGAGACCAUUUAAAGGCCUUUGCAGGUGUUUUGAGUUAAUUAGCUGAUUAGAGGUGUCUUCAAUAUUGAACCUUUCUACAAUAUUCUAAUUUUCAGAGAUACCAAAUUUGAGAUUUUUGUUAGUAUUCAGGUAUAAUCAUCAAAGUUAAGAGAAAUAAACAUUUGAAAUAUAUCAGUCUCUGUGUAAUGAAUGAGUAUAAUA
This is a long non-coding RNA of Amphiprion ocellaris (clown anemonefish), 800 nucleotides long. NCBI's taxonomy places the organism in Eukaryota, Metazoa, Chordata, Actinopteri, Pomacentridae. The record is from Ensembl.